UACGUAGGCAGCGAGCGUUGUUCGGAAUUACUGGGCGUAAAGAGUGUGUAGGCGGUGCUCCCAGUCUGUUGUGAAAUCUCCCGGCUUAACUGGGAGGGUGCAGCGGAAACUAGAGUGCUAGAGGGUGGGAGAGGUAAGCGGAAUUCCUGGUGUAGCGGUGAAAUGCGUAGAUAUCGUCUGGAACGCCGAAGGUGAAAACAGCUCGCUGGGGCUGCGCUGACGCUGAGACACGAAAGCCAGGGGAGCGAACGGG
RNAcentral lists this ribosomal RNA (253 nucleotides) under uncultured bacterium. RNAcentral's name for it is "partial 16S ribosomal RNA". It matches the Rfam family "Bacterial small subunit ribosomal RNA", at positions 524 to 776 of the family's 1533-position model. The record is from RNAcentral.